UAAUACGGAGGGUGCAAGCGUUAAUCGGAAUUACUGGGCGUAAAGCGUGCGUAGGCGGUUUAUUAAGUCAGAUGUGAAAGCCCCGGGCUUAACCUGGGAACUGCAUUUGAAACUGGUCAACUAGAGUAUGGUAGAGGAAAGUGGAAUUUCUGGUGUAGCGGUGAAAUGCGUAGAUAUCAGAAGGAACAUCAAUGGCGAAGGCAGCUUUCUGGACCAAUACUGACGCUGAGGUACGAAAGCGUGGGUAGCAAACAGGAUUAGAUACCCUGGUAGUCCACGCCGUAAACGAUGAUAACUAGCCGUUGGGGGGAUUUACCCCUUAGUGGCGAAGCUAACGCGUUAAGUUAUCCGCCUGGGGAGUACGGCCGCAAGGCUA
This 376-nucleotide ribosomal RNA is filed under the name uncultured Gammaproteobacteria bacterium. RNAcentral's name for it is "bacterial SSU rRNA". It matches the Rfam family "Bacterial small subunit ribosomal RNA", at positions 521 to 896 of the family's 1533-position model. The record is from RNAcentral. Lineage: Bacteria; Pseudomonadati; Pseudomonadota; Gammaproteobacteria.